RNAcentral lists this ribosomal RNA (775 nucleotides) under uncultured Neocallimastigales. RNAcentral's name for it is "partial large subunit ribosomal RNA". It matches the Rfam family "Eukaryotic large subunit ribosomal RNA", at positions 22 to 644 of the family's 3401-position model. The record is from RNAcentral. Lineage: Eukaryota; Fungi; Neocallimastigomycota; Neocallimastigomycetes; Neocallimastigales.
CAUAGCGACUAUCGUGGCAUAUCAAUAAGCGGAGGAAAAGAAACUAACAAGGAUUCCCUUAGUAACGGCGAGUGAAGCGGGAAGAGCUCAAAUUUGAAAUCUUCAAGGUUUUACCUUGACGAAUUGUAGUUUAUAGAAGUGUUUUCUGUUAGUGGAGUGGCAAAAGUUCUUUGGAAUAGGACAUCAUAGAGGGUGAGAAUCCCGUAUUUGACCAUUAUUUUCAGCUGUGUGAUACACUUUCAAAGAGUCGGAUUGUUUGGGAAUGCAGUCCAAAAUGGGUGGUAAAUUUCAUCUAAAGCUAAAUAUUGGCGAGAGACCGAUAGCGAACAAGUACCGUGAGGGAAAGAUGAAAAGAACUUUGAAAAGAGAGUUAAACAGUACGUGAAAUUGUCAAAAGGGAAGCGUUUGACACCAGUGUUGUUUUUCCGAAAAUCAAUUACGAAUGUUUUAUUUUUGAGAAGUUAUGACUUCAUCGGUCUUGCUUCUCUCUUUACGAAACUUUCUUAAUGCACUUUUCGGUUAACAAGUCAACAUCAAUUUCUCUUGUUGUAAAAGGGUAUGAGGAAGGUGGCUUUCUUUUCGGAGAAAGUGUUUAUAGCCUUUGAUCUCUGCAACCGGAGAGACUGAGGUCUGCAGCGUAGACUCUUCGGGGUUAGAUACAUUUGUGCUAAGCUAUAGCUUUUUAUAGACAACUUGUUGACUAUAUUUAGUCUUGUGGCUUACUCGCUUAUGCUAUUUUACCUACGCUUAGGAUGUUGAUAGUCACAGCGUGUAC